AUUGAACGCUGGCGGCAGGCCUAACACAUGCAAGUCGAACGGUAACAGGAAGCAGCUUGCUGCUUCGCUGACGAGUGGCGGACGGGUGAGUAAUGUCUGGGAAACUGCCUGAUGGAGGGGGAUAACUACUGGAAACGGUAGCUAAUACCGCAUAACGUCGCAAGACCAAAGAGGGGGACCUUCGGGCCUCUUGCCAUCGGAUGUGCCCAGAUGGGAUUAGCUAGUAGGUGGGGUAACGGCUCACCUAGGCGACGAUCCCUAGCUGGUCUGAGAGGAUGACCAGCCACACUGGAACUGAGACACGGUCCAGACUCCUACGGGAGGCAGCAGUGGGGAAUAUUGCACAAUGGGCGCAAGCCUGAUGCAGCCAUGCCGCGUGUAUGAAGAAGGCCUUUCGGGUUGUAAAGUACUUUUCAGCGGGGAGGAAGGCGAUAAGGUUAAUAACCUUGUCGAUUGACGUUACCCGCAGAAGA
RNAcentral lists this ribosomal RNA (473 nucleotides) under Enterobacter hormaechei. Its description in RNAcentral is "bacterial SSU rRNA". It matches the Rfam family "Bacterial small subunit ribosomal RNA", at positions 30 to 488 of the family's 1533-position model. The record is from RNAcentral. Lineage: Bacteria; Pseudomonadati; Pseudomonadota; Gammaproteobacteria; Enterobacterales; Enterobacteriaceae.